RNAcentral lists this long non-coding RNA (647 nucleotides) under Monodelphis domestica (gray short-tailed opossum). RNAcentral's name for it is "lncRNA (ENSMODG00000037888.1)". Lineage: Eukaryota; Metazoa; Chordata; Mammalia; Didelphimorphia; Didelphidae. The record is from RNAcentral.
AGAAACUGAGAUAAAUAGAUAUGAUUAUUAAGUGGUAUUUGAGGUAGCAUUUGAACCCAGAACUUCUUGGUAUCAAGUCCAGUUCCCUAUCCACUACAUGAUGCUACCUCUGCCUUCUUUUAUACUCCAAAUAUACAUUUUAGAAAGCAAACCAAUUGUAUUGUUCUUAACUUUAUUUAUCAGCUUCUAUUGCUCCUGAGGUUUAGUGUUUUUCCCAUUAUUCUCAGAGGACCAUGGCAUACUUUUCUACUUGACCUCAGUUACCUGUCCUUACUUGCAUCUCUGACCACAUCUUCAUGUGAAGAAUAUUUGCGUCAUUAUUCAGAACAUGACAUGGAGUCAAGGCCCUUCCCCUUUCAAAUGGCCCUACUCUGGAGCUCAAAGCCCUACCUAAAUAAAAUGUGCUGUCUAGACUGGAACACAAUCUUCUAGAUGGACACUGGUCAUAUCAGAAGAUAUCUUUCCCAGAGUCUCCCAAACAUUCCUUCCAGGGAAACAAGCCAUGUAAAAAGAUCCGCCUGCGUCUUAGCUGUUAGGAGAAGCCAAGAGAAAGAUGGCGGACAGCCGCAGCAGCCACAGCUCCAGGUCAAUACAGCCUGUGCCUGUAUCAAUUAAGACCUUCAUCGAUCACCUCGAUCUACAUUAAG